UCUUUUAAUCUUUUUGUUGCUUUAUGUGAAUGAUGUGGUUAAGAAUUUUUUUGAAAUCAACCAAUUGAAAACUCCUAGCAAAUAAUUUGAAAUGAAUUACUGGGGAGAGCAAAAGUAUUUUAAGCUAUGAGAAUUGGGGUGCAGUAAAAUGUAUCGACUUGAGGGGUAUAUCAAAAGUUGAUAUGUUGUUAGAUAGUAGUGAAAGUUGGACUUAUGUGAUCUAGCCAGGAAUAUGUAUUUGUUUUUUUUUUAAUUUUUUUUCUUCAAGUAGCACAAAGAUCGGUGUAAAUGUUACUAGAUAGCUAGAUGUUGAUUCGCAAGUGAUUUAAUGUGAAUGUAAACGACAUGGAUACUAUGGGUAUUUCCUAACCAUGCGCUCUUAAAACAAUGUCGAUGAAGCAUAUUGAAGUUAGACAACACUUUUUAUCCGUGAGAUAAUAUUUGAACAGUGAUGUCUCUUCAUGAAUUUUGACGCCAAG
Molecule: long non-coding RNA, 479 nt
Filed under: Amborella trichopoda
Lineage: Eukaryota; Viridiplantae; Streptophyta; Magnoliopsida; Amborellales; Amborellaceae
Description: long non-coding RNA (ATRI_LNC004877)
Source: RNAcentral